This 1395-nucleotide ribosomal RNA is filed under the name human gut metagenome. Its description in RNAcentral is "bacterial LSU rRNA". It matches the Rfam family "Bacterial large subunit ribosomal RNA", at positions 1131 to 2524 of the family's 2925-position model. The record is from RNAcentral.
UGCGUAAUAGCUCACUGGUCGAGUGACUCUGCGCCGAAAAUUUAACGGGGCUAAAUCGUACACCGAAGCUUGGGAAUAUCAGUUAUUCUUCAUGGACUUGCAAGGAAAGAGACCAUGGCACGAAGUGCCAUCAAAUUGUCCAUAAGGAUAAAGCGAGCUUGUGAAGAAUAACUGAUGUUGGUAGGAGAGCGUUGAAUGCGGGGUGAAGUCAGAGCGAAAGCGCUGGUGGACUGCAUUGAAGUGAGAAUGCCGGAAUGAGUAGCGAGAUUUAUGUGAGAAUCAUAAAGGCCGAAAGACUAAGGUUUCAGAAGGAAGGUUCGUCCGCUUCUGGUUAGCCGGGAGCUAAGGUGAGGCCGAAAGGCGUAGCCGAUGCACAUACGGUGGAGAUUCCGUAGCCGUCAAAAUAUUUAAGCAAAGGGACACUUAUGAAGGGCAUGACCCGGGCGAUGGUAGCCCCGGGCGUAAGGGACCGAAAAUAAGUAGGGAAGCAUGUUUGGAAUAAGGCGAGAAAAGCUUUGUGGAUAUAUGAGACGUCCGUACCGCAAACCGACACAGGUAGUCAGGAAGAGGAUUCUAAGGCCAACGGGAGAAGGGUAGUUAAGGAACUCGGCAAAUUGACCCCGUAACUUCGGAAUAAGGGGCGGUGCGUAAGCACCCGCAGUGAAUAGGUCCAGGCGACUGUUUAUCAAAAACACAGCUCUCUGCUAAAUCGAAAGAUGACGUAUAGGGGGUGACACCUGCCCGGUGCUGGAAGGUUAAGAGGAGGAGUGCAAGCUCCGAAUUGAAGCCCCAGUAAACGGCGGCCGUAACUAUAACGGUCCUAAGGUAGCGAAAUUCCUUGUCGGGUAAGUUCCGACCCGCACGAAUGGCGUAACGACUUGUGAGCUGUCUCAACAGGAGGCCCGGUGAAAUUGAAGUAUGUGUGAAGAUGCACAUUACCCGCGACUGGACGGAAAGACCCCGUAGAGCUUUACUGUAACCUGACAUUGGAUCUUGAUAACGGAUGCACAGGAUAGGUGGGACGCUGGGAGACGAGGACUUUGGUUUUCGUGGAGCGGCCGUUGGGAUACCACUCUUCUGUUAUUGAGAUUCUAACCUCAAGCCGUGAGCCGGAUGAGAGACAGUGUCAGGCGGACAGUUUGACUGGGGCGGUCGCCUCCGAAAGAGUAACGGAGGCGCCCAAAGGUACCCUCAGAAUGGAUGGAAACCAUUCGAAGAGAGCAAAGUCAGAAGGGUGCUUGACUGCGAGACCAACAAGUCGAGCAGGUACGAAAGUAGGGCUUAGUGAUCCGGCGGUAAGAGAGUGGAAUUGCCGUCGCUCAACGGAUAAAAGCUACCUCGGGGAUAACAGGCUGAUCUCCCCCAAGAGUUCACAUCGACGGGGAGGUUUGGCAC